Molecule: non-coding RNA, 167 nt
Filed under: Pseudomonas mosselii
Lineage: Bacteria; Pseudomonadati; Pseudomonadota; Gammaproteobacteria; Pseudomonadales; Pseudomonadaceae
Source: RNAcentral
CAGGUGUCCCAUGCCGCCGCGCAUGGGGUUAAACGGGAAACCGGUACGAGUCCGGUGCUGCCCCCGCAACGGUAUGCAAGUGAUGCCUUCGACAGACCACUGUGGCCAAUGCGCCAUGGGAAGGUGAAGGCGUCUAGUCUUGCGAGCCCGGAGACCGGCCUGGAAUG